RNAcentral lists this unclassified non-coding RNA (20 nucleotides) under Mus musculus (house mouse). Its description in RNAcentral is "oocyte_clustered_small_RNA13512". Lineage: Eukaryota; Metazoa; Chordata; Mammalia; Rodentia; Muridae. The record is from RNAcentral.
UUCCAGAGGAGAACUAUUCA